Molecule: long non-coding RNA, 904 nt
Organism: Harpegnathos saltator (Jerdon's jumping ant)
Lineage: Eukaryota; Metazoa; Arthropoda; Insecta; Hymenoptera; Formicidae
Exons: 3
Source: RefSeq, a predicted model, not a curated record
UUGCUACCACACAUGCGCAUUGUGUAUCCCAGAGUCACAGGCCGUUACAAUACUAGUCACAACAUAAGCCGGUUCCUUUUCUGCUCGAUUAGGGUGUACUUUCUUUUUAAAAAAUUCUUUUUAUAAAAAUCUAGUAUAUAUUUGAGAGACUUGUUGGGAAAAGGAGGAGAGGAAAACUAACGCAAGGUAGCAGAGAGAAAGCACAAAAAGAAACACAGAUUACAGGUUAGGUUAGGUUACUCUAAACAGAUACAAAUGGCUGCACCUCCGGGCUGAUAAAACCGGGAUGAAAAUACUACUAGAUUAUCUACUAGAGAUAGUUCGCAAAAUAUGAGAAACGACCGAUAGAUGGCAUCGUAUCAACCUACUUUGUAACGUACCGAAGAUAAGUCGUCAGCCAUACGGACGUUCGAUUCGAACGACGAAGAGACGCGCUGUAAAUCAACAAGUCACCCACUAAAAAACAGAUGACGUCGCGCUGAAAAUCGCCCACUCGCAAGUAAUGCUUAAGCAACGCUGAAAUGUUUGGAAUUGAAUGGAGAUCAGCUCGUGCGGAUGAAUAGAAUCGAGCGGCGUGCUAAGUCGUCACACUCGUAGCGAGUACAAUCGCCUGCUAUUACUCCGCGAGUUGACGCACAUUUGAAUCGACCAUGUACACGUGAGGUUAUUCAAGUAUCGAAAUAUAUACGAAGCGUACAAUGGCCAUUAUACGGCGACGCCGCUAUUAAUACCCUCCUGCCUAAUUGUUUCUCGGAAUUUCUUAAUUGCACCUGCUGUGCGACACUACCUCGCGCCGGCACCUCGGACGAAAAAGAUCAACGUUAGUCACGCGUUGUAAACACAAACGAAGAGAGUUGCGCUGCGCGCAAGUACUUGGCCCAGAUGCAUUUUCCUGGCAGAAGUC